Molecule: ribosomal RNA, 501 nt
Filed under: uncultured bacterium
Lineage: Bacteria
Description: bacterial SSU rRNA
Rfam family: Bacterial small subunit ribosomal RNA
Source: RNAcentral
CGAACGCUGGCGGCGUGCCUAACACAUGCAAGUCGAACGAGAAACCUCGGGCUUGCUCGAGGGAGUAAAGUGGCGCACGGGUGAGUAACGCGUGGGUAACCUGCCCUUGGAUCGGGGAUAACUUCGCGAAAGCGUAGCUAAUACCGGAUAAUGUCCCGUUGACUUCGGUCUUCAGGAUGAAAGAUGACCUCUUCAUGAAAGUUGUCGUUCAGGGAGGGGCCCGCGUACCAUUAGCUUGUUGGUGGGGUAAUGGCCCACCAAGGCAACGAUGGUUAGCUGGUCUGAGAGGAUGAUCAGCCACACUGGAACUGAAACACGGUCCAGACUCCUACGGGAGGCAGCAGUGAGGAAUUUUGCGCAAUGGGGGAAACCCUGACGCAGCAACGCCGCGUGAGUGAAGAAGGCUUUCGGGUCGUAAAGCUCUGUCAAGUGGGAAAAAAAGCUCUCGAUUAAUAGUCGGGAGACCUGAUGGUACCACUGGAGGAAGCACCGGCUAACUCC